UUAAAGCCGAUCUCACGGCCACUUGCCCGCAGAUCAGAGCCAGAGUGGAGAGCCAUGGUCUUGGCUCUCUGUCACUAGCGGUCAUGGUGCACAGGGGACGCGCGGGAAGCCGGCAUCAUCGGGGCAGCCCCCAGCCUCAGCACACAACAGAUGCCCAAAGAAGCUUUCUUGGAGGCUCAGGUAAGUGGCUUCAGGUGGCUCCA
RNAcentral lists this long non-coding RNA (203 nucleotides) under Mustela putorius furo (domestic ferret). RNAcentral describes it as "lncRNA (ENSMPUG00000030195.1)". The record is from RNAcentral. Lineage: Eukaryota; Metazoa; Chordata; Mammalia; Carnivora; Mustelidae.